RNAcentral lists this ribosomal RNA (368 nucleotides) under uncultured archaeon. Its description in RNAcentral is "bacterial SSU rRNA". It matches the Rfam family "Archaeal small subunit ribosomal RNA", at positions 316 to 684 of the family's 1478-position model. The record is from RNAcentral.
CGAUUCCCUAUGGGGUGCAGCAGGCGCGAAACCUCCGCAAUGCGAGCAAUCGCGACGGGGGGACCCCAAGUGCCACUCUUAACGGGGUGGCUUUUCUUAAGUGUAAAAAGCUUUUGGAAUAAGGGCUGGGCAAGACCGGUGCCAGCCGCCGCGGUAACACCGGCAGCUCUAGUGGUAGCCAUUUUUAUUGGGCCUAAAGCGUUCGUAGCCGGUUUGAUAAGUCUCUGGUGAAAUCCUAUAGCUUAACUGUGGGACUUGCUGGAGAUACUAUUAGACUUGAGGUCGGGAGAGGUUAGCGGUACUCCCAGGGUAGGGGUGAAAUCCUGUAAUCCUGGGAGGACCACCUGUGGCGAAGGCGGCUANCUGGA